Molecule: ribosomal RNA, 253 nt
Filed under: uncultured bacterium
Lineage: Bacteria
Description: partial 16S ribosomal RNA
Rfam family: Bacterial small subunit ribosomal RNA
Source: RNAcentral
UACGGAGGGUGCAAGCGUUAUCCGGAUUCACUGGGUUUAAAGGGUGCGUAGGCGGGCAGUUAAGUCAGUGGUGAAAUCCCCGAGCUCAACUCGGGAACUGCCAUUGAUACUAUCUGUCUUGAAUAUUGUGGAGGUAAGCGGAAUAUGUCAUGUAGCGGUGAAAUGCUUAGAUAUGACAUAGAACACCUAUUGCGAAGGCAGCUUACUACGCAUAUAUUGACGCUGAGGCACGAAAGCGUGGGGAGCGAACAGG